This 497-nucleotide ribosomal RNA is filed under the name uncultured bacterium. RNAcentral's name for it is "partial 16S ribosomal RNA". It matches the Rfam family "Bacterial small subunit ribosomal RNA", at positions 28 to 507 of the family's 1533-position model. The record is from RNAcentral.
GAUGAACGCUGGCGGCGUGCCUAAUACAUGCAAGUCGAGCGGACAGAUGAGGAGCUUGCUCCUCUGACGUUAGCGGCGGACGGGUGAGUAACACGUGGAUAACCUACCUAUAAGACUGGGAUAACUUCGGGAAACCGGAGCUAAUACCGGAUAAUAUAUUGAACCGCAUGGUUCAAUGGUGAAAGACGGUUUUGCUGUCACUUAUAGAUGGAUCCCGGCCGCAUUAGCUAGUUGGUAAGGUAAUGGGCUACCAAGGCAACGAUGCGUGGCCGACCUGAGAGGCGGAUCGGCCACACUGGAACUGAGACACGGUCCAGACGCCUACGGGAGGCCGCAGUAGGGAAUCUUCCGCAAUGGGCGAAAGCCUGACGGAGCAACGCCGCGUGAGUGAUGAAGGUCUUCGGAUCGUAAAACUCUGUUAUUAGGGAAGAACAAAUGUGUAAGUAACUAUGCACGUCUUGACGGUACCUAAUCAGAAAGCCACGGCUAACUACGUG